Molecule: ribosomal RNA, 464 nt
Filed under: Vreelandella stevensii
Lineage: Bacteria; Pseudomonadati; Pseudomonadota; Gammaproteobacteria; Oceanospirillales; Halomonadaceae
Description: partial 16S ribosomal RNA
Rfam family: Bacterial small subunit ribosomal RNA
Source: RNAcentral
CCUACGGGAGGCUGCAGUGGGGAAUAUUGGACAAUGGGGGGAACCCUGAUCCAGCCAUGCCGCGUGUGUGAAGAAGGCCCUCGGGUUGUAAAGCACUUUCAGUGAGGAAGAACGCCUGGUGGUUAAUACCCAUCAGGAAAGACAUCACUCACAGAAGAAGCACCGGCUAACUCCGUGCCAGCAGCCGCGGUAAUACGGAGGGUGCGAGCGUUAAUCGGAAUUACUGGGCGUAAGCGCGCGUAGGUGGCUUGAUAAGCCGGUUGUGAAAGCCCCGGGCUCAACCUGGGAACGGCAUCCGGAACUGUCAAGCUAGAGUGCAGGAGAGGAAGGUAGAAUUCCCGGUGUAGCGGUGAAAUGCGUAGAGAUCGGGAGGAAUACCAGUGGCGAAGGCGGCCUUCUGGACUGACACUGCCACUGAGGUGCGAAAGCGUGGGUAGCAAACAGGAUUAGAUACCCGUGUAGUC